RNAcentral lists this ribosomal RNA (506 nucleotides) under uncultured bacterium. Its description in RNAcentral is "partial 16S ribosomal RNA". It matches the Rfam family "Bacterial small subunit ribosomal RNA", at positions 28 to 523 of the family's 1533-position model. The record is from RNAcentral.
GUUGAACGCUGGCGGCAGGCCUAACACAUGCAAGUCGAACGGUAACAGGAAGAAGCUUGCUUCUUUGCUGACGAGUGGCGGACGGGUGAGUAAUGUCUGGGAAACUGCCUGAUGGAGGGGGAUAACUACUGGAAACGGUAGCUAAUACCGCAUAACGUCGCAAGACCAAAGAGGGGGACCUUCGGGCCUCUUGCCAUCGGAUGUGCCCAGAUGGGAUUAGCUAGUAGGUGGGGUAACGGCUCACCUAGGCGACGAUCCCUAGCUGGGCUGAGAGGAUGACCAGACACACUGGAACUGAGACGCGGUCCAGACUCCUACGGGAGGCAGCAGUGGGGAAUAUUGCACAAUGGGCGCAAGCCUGAUGCAGCCAUGCCGCGUGUAUGAAGAAGGCCUUCGGGUUGUAAAGUACUUUCAGCGGGGAGGAAGGGAGUAAAGUUAAUACCUUUGCUCAUUGACGUUACCCGCAGAAGAAGCACCGGCUAACUCCGUGCCAGCCGCCGCGGUAA